ACAGGAUUCCUGAAUCCCUGCAGAAAAGAGAGGGUCCGCCCUGAAUAAACAAACAACCGCUGACCAGCUUGUAAACUACAAUAACCAUCAUGCAUAGCUGGAAACGCCUUUCCGUUGCACGUUGGCGUCAUCAUAAGGGGGGAAAGCGGAUGUUGACAGAUUGUUUCAAAGUGUAGGCGCUAACGUUACUUUUGCUAUUUCAGUUUCAGGUUAACAUAACGGAAUAUAAGACUAACACAGACAGUUAAACAUUUUUAAGUACGUUUGGUUUUAACGCCAAAACGAUGAACCAAAUUAUGAAUAGCAUAAAGCUAGCUAGUAAUUAGCCACAGAUGUAGUUUCCAUGGUGAUGAAACACCUCAACGAUAAAUUACUGGCUAGCUAGCUGGUGAUGUUAGCUUUUAGGAGAUUGUGAACAGAGAUGUCAUCAGGGUUUCAGUCCCCCGAUCCUCAGAGUAUUCGACUUUCUUGCAAUAAUGGCGCUAAAGUUAUACAAUGUGUAACUCCACCUAACCAGUUCAAACUAAAAACGAGCGUUAACCCAUCAGGAUCAACUGCAACAAGCGACGCCUCUCUUCGGCUGAGAUUUAACAGCUUGACUCUGGAUGAACUGAGUGAGGAGCUUGAAAGGCGCACCAAAGAAACCCAGAGGCUUCAGGAAGAGGUGGAAACUGCAACCAAAGUAACUUUAGAGAGAUUUGGCUGCACAUAUGGCAUCCAGAGCUCACCUGGAGAAAGCUGCCACAACAACAGGUUUAAUGAGUAUGAUGGAGGUUCCUCUAUUCUUUCAACCCAGCAGCAGGCAGUGACUCAGCCAUCGCUCUGUGAUCUGGAUAUUUUAAACCAAGGAAAUAUCAGCUCUCCUGGAAAGAAAAUGUUGGAAAGUACAAAAGCCGACUGUCUUCAACAGCUGUCUGACUUGCAGCUCAACAAGAUGCAUGAUGAACCCGAACAAGAGAAAUUCAGGUUUGACAAAGCCAUCGUGAACCUGCAGACUAAGUUGAGCAAAGUCCAGAAGGAGAAGGACGGCAUAUCCGACCUCAGAUUGAAGGAUUCAAGGACACACGUUGAUCAGAUGGAAAAGAUGCUGUUCAUGUUGGAAGAGCUCCAAAACAUCAAAAGGACUAAGGACCAAGAGCUGCUAGAGACGGAGGAUGACACGUUGGCGCUUAACAAAAAAGUAGAGACAUUGGAACAAAAUGUAGAGCAGAUGUACUCACUGUUAUAUCAGGAGACACAACGCGGAGACAAUGCAAUCAUCAGUCCGAACUUCCAUACAUGUUCAACUCCGGCUGCUCAGUUUAAUGAGAAUUUUAAUGAUGAGACAGAGGAGCUACAGGAAAGAUUUUUUUUGUCAAUCAACCAUCUGGGAAGCGAGGGAUGCAGUGGAGUAAAUAAGCAAAAAGAAAGAAUGGAAGGCCUAAUAUCUCAUCUUGGCCAGGAGAUGGCGCUGUUGACUAGCAAACUGAGCUUGUCAAAAGACAACAGCAUCAGCCUGAAUGUCAAGUUAGAGCUGCUAAAGAAACUUGCAGAGAGACAGACAUCCCUGCACCAGUGUCAGGUCAGUGAACUCGAGUCAACCGUCUGCAGCCACAAAGAUAAGAUUUGUCGUCUGGAGCAGCAGCUCAAUCAGGCACAGUGGCAGCUGAUGAACGCCCAGAGAGAGGGAGAGCGAUCUUUACAGCAGGCAGAGGAGCUUCAGUCCCAGCUUGGCCAGCUUAAGAGGUGUGGUUUGCAGCAGCAGUGGGAGCUCCAGGAGGAGGUAGAGGCCCUGAGAGGACAGCUGGAAGCGGCCGGGGAGGAGAGAACCUGCCUGCAGGCCCUGCUGGAGCAGAGGGCCCAGGAGGGGAGGAAAUCCCAGAAACUCCUGGAGGAGAAACACAAAGACCUCCAGCUCAGUCAGCAAGAAGCACAGCACCAUCUUGCCAGGUUGAAGGAGGCCCAAAGCCGAUGCCAGGCCCUGCAUGCAGAAGGAGACACACUGAGGCUGAAGCUGAUUGACCGAGAGAAGAUGAUAGAGAGCGGUGUACAGAUGACAGUGCAGCACGGCAGCACUAUCGACGACCUUCACAAGGAGAACGGCCUCCUCAGCAACCAGCUUAACCAGUACAAGCUGGAGAUUCAGCAGCUCAGGGCAGAGUUAGACCACAAGUCAGAUGAUGCUGCUGCUGCAGAACAUGAGCGGCAGCAGCUCCAGGCCUUUGUGGCUGAACAAAGUCAGCGUGUCCAGGAGGAAAGCCUGGAGAAAAAGCAGCUUAACAUCCAGCUGGAGCUGCGCCGCAUGCAGUUACUCGCCCUAACUCAGGAGCACAAGGAGCUGCAGCAACUCCACAGCUGCAAGAACGAGGAGCAAGAAGGCGCGGUGCUGAGGCUCCAGAGUCAGCUCAGGAACGCCCGGGAAGAGCUGGAUCAGGUCGGGAGCACCCUGAGGACGCUGGAAGGAGCUGAGGGACACGGCCUCCAAGCAGCCAUGGACAUGCAGAAAGAGAUCACUGCCAGGAGACAGCAGGUCGACUCCCUGCAGAGCAAAAUCAAACAUCUUGAGGAGAUUAACGACAAGCUGUACCAGGAGAAGCGCUACCAGAGCCUCGAGAAGCAGCGCCAGCUCCAGGAGCUAACCUUCGUCAGGGAGGAGAAGAAACAACUUGGCAAUGAGCUGGAGGCCCUUCGCUCCAAAGAUAACCAGCUGAGGGAGCGGAUCGACCAGCUGCAGGCAAUCCUUCACAAGAUGUCAGAGAGCUUUGCAGACUGUCAAGAUUUCAUCCAGCUGCAGGAGCAGGACUUUUUCCGUCUGAAACUCCGACAUGCCCUGGACUUGAAGGAGCUCCAAGGUCAAAGAGUGCACACGGCUCUGACUGUACAUCCACCUGUCCUGGACUCCCCAUCUGCACUCACUGCUCCACCCGUCUCCCAGCAUGCGUCCAACGCCCAGAUCACGCAGGAAAGCGCCUCACGAGAGCUCAGGUCUGUGGUCAGAGAGCUUCGAGGAGCGGUUUCAGGGAAGCACAGACCACACACCGAUAACAGGAGGAGGUCUGAGCCGGAGAAAGUGCACAGAACCACAUUCAACAUUGACAAGAGGGAAGAAGUAAAGGCCGGAUCAAGAUUGAGAAGCAAAACCUGCGGCAGCAAGCCACUUUUCCUGAAUGGAGCUGAGCUAAACCGAAACACAAUCAAGAACAAAUCCUUCAGGGCAGGUUGUGUUAUUUCAAGUACAGCGACUGCAGGGAGGUACAUUUCCUUCCCACAGCUGCUCUCACUGGGUCGCAGGUCACCCGUCCACUCUCUGCUGACCUCUGACCCAAACAGCUGACAAUGACGGGACACAACCACAGACUGGACACAUCGGACCUCAGGCUGAUCUUCUUAUCAGACAAAUGAGCCGGUGUCCCCUGUUACCAAACACUUGAAUGAUGGGAAAUGAACCACACCUACAUAGACAAAGGAAUUCUAAGAUGCCGCCCCCCUCCUGCAGGCCCCAUCCCCUGGGAUUGCUAUAAGGCUUUGCACAAUGAGCAUCAGUUGUGGAAGCGGGUCGCAGCAGCAGCCACUGAACAUCCUCUCUCUGCGGGUGGAGAGUUCGGUGCCGUCGGUUCGCCCUUUAUUGGAGCUCCGCCCCGAAAUCAGUCGAUCAAAUUCAGCAUCACACUCGCCACACUCUGACCAAUCAGCGCGAAGAGGAGUGGUCUGUUUCGGUGGUCCGGGAGGGCAACAUCCAAUCAGAUGCUCGCACUGGUCGGACAAAGGGAAACACGUCGUGUCUGAUGGCACAUUAUUCAUGUCCACGCUGAAAUUAUUUAAGGAGACGCCAUGAGGCGAGAUAGCGGGAGUGCCUAUAAAAGUAACGGAUCUCCUCAUUCUCACUUUUUCUGUGAGAGGGAGAGGUUAGUAAUAAGAGGAUGAAAGGAUGAAAUGUCAAAGUGUAAAUAAUUUCCCCUCGACAUGUGCAUCGAGACAAACCCGUUAAGCUGAUUAACAAAGUGGCUAGGUGAAAUACUACCACUAUGAACACGUAGCUGCUUGCUCCAUUCAUGAAUCAUAAUCCUCUUUCCUGCUCAUAAAACCACUAAGUUAGAAAUUAGAUACAACACACAAAAAACAAGUGUAAAAAUGUGACAA
Molecule: RNA transcript, 4119 nt
Organism: Eleginops maclovinus (Patagonian blennie)
Lineage: Eukaryota; Metazoa; Chordata; Actinopteri; Perciformes; Eleginopidae
Gene name: coiled-coil domain-containing protein 158-like
Exons: 25
Source: RefSeq, a predicted model, not a curated record